This 1404-nucleotide ribosomal RNA is filed under the name uncultured bacterium. RNAcentral describes it as "16S ribosomal RNA". It matches the Rfam family "Bacterial small subunit ribosomal RNA". The record is from RNAcentral.
UUCGCCCUUAGAGUUUGAUCCUGGCUCAGGAUGAACGCUGGCGGCGUGCCUAACACAUGCAAGUCGAACGGAGUUCUUAAGGAAUGCGACUUCGGUCAAAUGACUUUUGAACUUAGUGGCGGACGGGUGAGUAACGCGUGAGCAACCUGCCUUUCAGAGGGGGAUAACAUUUGGAAACAGAUGCUAAUACCGCAUAAGAUUACAGUACCGCAUGAUACAGUGAUCAAAGGAGCAAUCCGCUGAAAGAUGGGCUCGCGUCCGAUUAGAUAGUUGGUGAGGUAACGGCUCACCAAGUCGACGAUCGGUAGCCGGACUGAGAGGUUGAACGGCCACAUUGGGACUGAGACACGGCCCAGACUCCUACGGGAGGCAGCAGUGGGGAAUAUUGCACAAUGGGCGAAAGCCUGACGCAGCAACGCCGCGUGAGGGAAGACGGUUUUCGGAUUGUAAACCUCUGUUUUCGGUGACGAACAAAUGACGGUAACCGAGUAGGAAGCCACGGCUAACUACGUGCCAGCAGCCGCGGUAAUACGUAGGUGGCAAGCGUUAUCCGGAAUUACUGGGUGUAAAGGGAGCGCAGGCGGGAUAGCAAGUCAGUUGUGAAAACUAUGGGCUCAACCCAUAAACUGCAGUUGAAACUGUUAUUCUUGAGUGGAGUAGAGGCAAGCGGAAUUCCGAGUGUAGCGGUGAAAUGCGUAGAUAUUCGGAGGAACACCAGUGGCGAAGGCGGCUUGCUGGGCUCUAACUGACGCUGAGGCUCGAAAGUGUGGGUAGCAAACAGGAUUAGAUACCCUGGUAGUCCACACCGUAAACGAUGAUUACUAGGUGUUGGAGGAUUGACCCCUUCAGUGCCGCAGUUAACACAAUAAGUAAUCCACCUGGGGAGUACGACCGCAAGGUUGAAACUCAAAGGAAUUGACGGGGGCCCGCACAAGCAGUGGAGUAUGUGGUUUAAUUCGACGCAACGCGAAGAACCUUACCAGGUCUUGACAUCUGGGUGACGGGAGAGUAACGUCUCCGUUCCUACGGGACACCCAAGACAGGUGAUGCAUGGUUGUCGUCAGCUCGUGUCGUGAGAUGUUGGGUUAAGUCCCGCAACGAGCGCAACCCUUAUUUUUAGUAGCCAGCGGUUUGGCCGGGCACUCUAGAGAGACUGCCAGGGAUAACCUGGAGGAAGGUGGGGAUGACGUCAAAUCAUCAUGCCCCUUAUGAUCUGGGCUACACACGUGCUACAAUGGUGGUAACAAAGUGAAGCAAACCUGUGAGGGGGAGCAAAUCACAGAAAAGCCAUCUCAGUUCGGAUUGUAGUCUGCAACUCGACUACAUGAAGCUGGAAUCGCUAGUAAUCGCGAAUCAGCAUGUCGCGGUGAAUACGUUCCCGGGUCUUGCACUCACCGCCCGUCA